UAGAUUGGUGCAAAAGUAAUUGCAGUUUUUGCCAUUACUUUUUAUUGCAAACACUCCAAUUACUUUUGCACAAACCU
Molecule: microRNA precursor, 77 nt
Filed under: Aotus nancymaae (Ma's night monkey)
Lineage: Eukaryota; Metazoa; Chordata; Mammalia; Primates; Aotidae
Description: miRNA (ENSANAG00000008577.1)
Source: RNAcentral